AUGGCGCCGUCCGUCCGCGCCACCGUCCUGCUCCUCCUCCUCCUCGCCGCCUCCUCCUCUUCUCAGGCGGCACAAGCGGCGGAGGACGGCAUCCGGGUCCUCUCCGCCGAGAAAAGGAUCGACCUCACCGGCCCCAUCGUCAAGGUCUUCCUCACCCUCAAGGUCCAGAACACCGCCACCGGCGCCGACGCCUCACACGUCCUCAUCGCCUUCACGCCUGCCGAGGCCGACCACCUCGCCAUCGUCAAGGCAACAAGGGCCGAGGGCAAGCGCAAGAAGAAGACCUACAUCCCGCUCCCAGUAUCACCUGCCGACCCCGCCACUGCCGCUCCCAACGGCGCCCGCCUCUACUCCAUCUCCCUUCCCACCCCACUGAAACCCACCGACACAACCACCGUGGAGGUCUUCUACGUGCUCACGCACUCCCUCGAGCCCUUCCCUGCCGAGAUCACCCAGUCCGAGUCCCAGCUCGUCUACUACCGCGACAGCGCCGUCCUCCUCUCGCCGUACCAUGUCCAGGAGCAGGGCACCUAUGUCAAGACGCCCAGCAGCAGGGUCGAGUCCUUCACCAGGGUCGACCCCACCAGCCGCUCGGGCCCUGAUGUCAAAUACGGCGCGUACAGCAACCAGCUCCCCUACGCCUACUCGCCCAUCAUUCUGCAUUAUGAGAACAACCAUGCGUUUGCUGUCGUCGAGGAGCUCGUGCGCAAGGUGGAGAUCUCUCACUGGGGGAACGUCCAGGUCACCGAGCACUACAAGUUGAAGCAUGGCGGUGCCAAGCACAAAGGAGUCUUUUCAAGGCUCGAGUAUCAGGCUAGGCAAUCUAUCAGUGGAGCGUCAUCAUUUAAGAACCUUCUUGCAAGGUUGCCUCCACGAGUUCAUUCAGUCUACUAUCGUGAUGAGAUUGGUAACAUCUCCUCAUCCCAUCUGCGCAGUGAUUCAUACAAGUCAGAACUAGAAAUUGAACCAAGAUAUCCACUGUUUGGUGGGUGGCACUGCACUUUCACCAUCGGCUAUGGCAUGCCACUGCAAGAUUUCCUGUUUGAAUCGGCUGAUGGUCGACGCUUCGCCAACCUUACAUUUGGAUGCCCUCUACUGAAUACUGUGGUUGAUAAUCUUACCAUCAAGGUUGUGCUUCCUGAGGGCUCGAAAAGCCCGCAAGCUGUUGUUCCUUUUGAGACGGAGCAACAUCUCGAGACUAGCUAUUCAUACCUGGAUGUUGUGGGGAGGACGACAGUGGUGAUAAAGAAGAAAAACGUAGUAGGAGAGCACAAUGUUCCAUUCCAGGUGUACUAUGAGUUCAGCCCCAUCUUCAUGUUGGCGGAGCCGCUGAUGCUGGUAACCGCAGUGCUGCUCUUCUUCGCCGCUUGCAUUGUCUAUCUUCACACGGAUCUUUCCAUCGCGAAAUCACAGGCCUCCUCCUGA
This 1425-nucleotide ribosomal RNA is filed under the name Triticum aestivum (bread wheat). RNAcentral's name for it is "partial small subunit ribosomal RNA". Lineage: Eukaryota; Viridiplantae; Streptophyta; Magnoliopsida; Poales; Poaceae. The record is from RNAcentral.